GAGGGAAUAGCUCAGUGGUAGAGCGUGUGCUUAGCGUCCACGAGAUCCUGGGUUCAGUCCCCGGUACCUCCA
This 72-nucleotide transfer RNA is filed under the name Camelus bactrianus (Bactrian camel). It matches the Rfam family "tRNA". Rfam says of the family: Transfer RNA (tRNA) molecules are approximately 80 nucleotides in length. RNAcentral also lists the same sequence under 2 other names. Lineage: Eukaryota; Metazoa; Chordata; Mammalia; Artiodactyla; Camelidae. The record is from Rfam by way of RNAcentral.